RNAcentral lists this transfer RNA (73 nucleotides) under Aphyosemion coeleste (sky-blue killifish). RNAcentral describes it as "tRNA-Val". It matches the Rfam family "tRNA". Rfam says of the family: Transfer RNA (tRNA) molecules are approximately 80 nucleotides in length. Their secondary structure includes four short double-helical elements and three loops (D, anti-codon, and T loops). Further hydrogen bonds mediate the characteristic L-shaped molecular structure. tRNAs have two regions of fundamental functional importance: the anti-codon, which is responsible for specific mRNA codon recognition, and the 3' end, to which the tRNAs corresponding amino acid is attached (by aminoacyl-tRNA synthetases). tRNAs cope with the degeneracy of the genetic code in two manners: having more than one tRNA (with a specific anti-codon) for a particular amino acid; and 'wobble' base-pairing, i.e. permitting non-standard base-pairing at the 3rd anti-codon position. The record is from RNAcentral. Lineage: Eukaryota; Metazoa; Chordata; Actinopteri; Cyprinodontiformes; Nothobranchiidae.
CAAAGUGUAGCUAAAAUAGUUAAAGCAUCUCCCUUACACCGAGAAAACACUUGUGCAAAUCAAGUCACUUUGA